Callithrix jacchus (white-tufted-ear marmoset) is the source of this 4626-nucleotide non-coding RNA. The record is from RefSeq and is a predicted model, not a curated record. NCBI's taxonomy places the organism in Eukaryota, Metazoa, Chordata, Mammalia, Primates, Cebidae.
CGGGCAGUCUCACAUAUUUUGGGAGGCUGAAGUGGGAGAACUACUUGAGCCCAGGAGUUUGAUUGAGGCUUCAGUGAACUAUGAUGGUGCCAUGACACUCCACCCUGGGCAACAGAGCUGGACCCCACUUCGAAAAAAAAAAAAAAGUAGUUACCCAGGUAAGGUGGAUGGCACCAAACUCUCUCCCUUACCUGGACCAUUUCCGGUCCCAAGAGGAGGAUCAGUUAGGCGGAUGACCCAAGUUACCCAGAUCAUUAACUGUGGAAGCACGGGAUUUUUUUUUUAAUGCCAUUCCUUUGGCCUCUAAAUAUGAGAGAUCUUUACAUCUCUUCCUUAGCUCCCUCCUAUUCUCUACCCUCUCCCCAACACCCAAGCAAAUCCUAGCAACAAAAACUCCUAAAUAUAGGACAAACCUUCAUGACCUACCAUUUUGGCCCACCUGCAACCCCGGUCCCCCGGCCCCCCCCGGCCCGCAUUUUUUUUUCUCUCCUGAGCCUCUACUCUUCGAUUCUAAAAAAAAAGAAAAAAAAAAAAAAAAACGAAGAAGAAGGAAUUUUCAAUAGUCCCACUUGUCAAGCGAAGACCAUCUUUUAACCUUCAACAGCAGCGAAAGCCGUGUGAACUCUCGGUGAACCAAGAUUGAAGUCAUAAAUCACGCGUACAAAGGCGGCUGCGGAGGCUGGCGCGGGCUGCUGCACCUUUAACGCUUUCUGGGGCUGACAGGCGGCGGCCCAGCUAAAGUUCACAGCGCCCGGGGAGGGCCCGCCCCCGCCUCCCGGCCCGCCCCCGCCUCCCCUCCCCCAGUUCGGCCCCGGCCCCGGCUCCCGCCCCCGGCCCGGCCCGCCGCUCCGCAGCCGAAGCUACGCACGGAGGAGGCCCCUUAGCUCUUCCCGCAAAGGGCGGGGGGCGCAUUUUUUCUCCUGCCAGCCCGCUCCAUCCGGGUCGUUUAUUCCCUGCCUCCCCUCACCCCUCAUCCCCACAGCCUGCUGUAUGUAAAUAGGCAAAUAGAUCUACACGGACACAAUAAUUUAGCUUGUUUGGUCUUUGGCAUUUUCUACAAGACCCCAAGAGAUGGACUUUUCUCUCCCCUUCCUCCGUUUAGAACUGGCAUCCUUCAUCUCUGUCCAUGCAGGCCCAAUUAUCCAGAUCCUUGGGGCUCCAAUAGGGUCUGAGUCAUAGGAACCAGAACACCUGGGUGAAACAUGCCACAUAAUUAGAUUUUCUUUUUCUUUUCGUUCUUUUUUUUUUUUUUAAUUUUUUUUUUUCACUAAGAGGGCUGGAAUUAGCUUCCUCGACUGGGGCGGAGUGGCUGGGGUAGGGGACAGGGACGCCUUCGUACGAAGUCCAGCUUUCAGCUCCUUGGAGCGAUCUCCAAGUUCCCCGAGCCGGGACUUCCUUUCCUCGGCCUCUUGGCCCCCUCCUCCUCCUUCUCCGAUCGUUUUGUUUUUUUUUAUUCCCCCCACUGUCUUCUCUACGAUUUAAUUAAAGUUCAGCGACUCCACUUGCCUCUCCUCUCAUUUCUUUCGGAAAGCGGAAACCAGAUGACCCAGCAGCCACGGGCCCAGCCGCCCCAGCUCAACCCCAGCAGGACGCUGGAGGGGCCUCCCUCUCCCGCCUCCCUCCGCCGGCGCUGGCCUCCCGGACCCGGGUCUGCAGUCCCUCCGCCAACCCGCAGGUGUGCAGCCGCUUGGCCUGGGGGAUCCGAAUGACUGGGGCUGGAUAGGAAUGUCUUCGUGUUUCCCCAGACCCCCGGGCCUGUUCCGCAAAGUUUGGAGGGUGGGUACACCCCGACCCAGGCAAGUUGCUCCCCUAAAACCCAUAACUGACUAAUCUGAUAUGACAAAAGCCCGUGAUGGAUUUGGUAUAUGUUAAUUCACAAUGCCCUUUCCUCCAGAAUUUAACUAUAAGUUAAUACACACCGGAAACCACGCGCAUACAUGCUCCUUAAUGGGCUUAGGUAUUAGCGAGUCCUAACGAUGCAUACAAAUGUGCUCUGCGCUCUGUAGGCCCCUCAAGAUUUAUGGGCCUUGAGCUCUCUGAAGCUGUAAACAAGGAGGGGGAAAAAAAAGAGAAAGCGAAAGAGACUGGGGGGAAGAGACAGAGGCCUGACUCGCCCCUCCAGGUUGUGGGAGAGAAGGGAUUCUUUACGUAUUUUCCUUUCCUUGCUAGCUCGGUGCGUGUGGGUUUUGGCGUCGGUCUGGGGUGGUGUUCCGCCUGAAUGCUGGCGUGCGUGGGCAGUGUGUUCUUUGCGUGCCAGGGGAGGAUGCCUGCCUCUUUAGAUUGCUGUGCAGGGGCCUGAACAUAGCAGGCAUUUGUGAGCAUAUAUGCGUGAGUGUGUGCACGGUGUUAGGGGGUGUGUGUGUGUGUGUGUGUGUGUGUGACAGGCAGGCUUCCCUUUGGGCCAGGCUGCUGUCCCCUGAACCUGGUGAACAAAUCUCUAACAACAAUCAUAAUAACAAUAAAUAACGAAUAAUAAUAAUAAAACAGUAGUUAGCAGUCCCUGAAUAACAGGAUAACAAUAAAAUGCAAGAGGAAAUAUUUUGAGGAGGGGACAGAGGAAGAAGUCAGGAUCACAGCAUCUGAGGGGAAGAUAGGAAAGGACGGGAGGAAGAAAGCUUCUUAAUAUGCUCUUGGGGAGCUGAGGUUGGGAACCCCUUUCCCGGUCAAGGGACAAAAGAGAAGGAGAGCCCAGAGGCCACUCUUUAUUGCUUUUUUUUCUCGGCCUUUUGCUUGUGAUCAGGGAAGGGAUCCCACAUAUGGGGGUGGUUAAUGGUUUUUGGGACUCUCUGGGAGCCCCUGUUUUAAGGAGGAGGCCAAAUGUGCAGGGUCAGGCCAAGGGGCAGAGAUGAAUGAGGCGAUGACCACAGACUUGAUCCGGCAAGAGCGCAGAAAUGCCCGAGAGGACGAGCCCCCAGGGCCCGGACUGAAGAAGAAAAACAUUUAUGGCCGCCGGGGAGUGGGGAGAGCCAGACUGGGGCUCCAGCAGGCCCAGGACAAGUUCCCUUUCUAGGGUCUUUAUUUACAAAUUUAAAAGGAGGAGUUAAGGCGCCUUGAAUUUUCCUUCGCGAGCUUGGAGCCUAGCCGAUUUUUCAUGAAGGCAAAGACCACAGUCCCGGAUCCUGCAACAUCCACCUCAUUCUCUUCAGGCCUCUCCGCUGGCCGGAGCUCUCAGCCACCAGGAGACUGACGGAAGGGGCUUCUGAGCUGCGUUGGGAGCGGGCACUGUCCCCCACCCACUCCUGCUCGGUUUCCCAAAGUCCAGCGACCUCCGACCCUCCUUGGAGGGAAAAUACCAGCACCCAGACACCUCUGCACCCUGUUAGAUGACUGGGCUUGCUUCAGGAAUAUCUUACAAUGAAAAAGAAGGAAGAAUGGCUUGGAGUCGUGUUUACAUCUAGUUCUACUGAUCUGUUCACAUCUGGAGAGUUUAUUUAUAACUCCCUCUAUAACUCUCUGUUUGGAGGCACUGGUGGCUCUAUUGACAGACUGAUGUCUAGAAAAUAUUGCUGUAUCUCUAACCAUACCUAAAUAUGCUGUGGUUGUAUUUACAGAUUUAUGUUUGAGGAAAAUAUAAUUAUUUCCAUUGUAUUUGUGCAUAUACAGUAGUUAUAGGAGCAGAUUUAUAUAUGGGAAAAUAUACGACUCUCUUACAGCCAUCCUGCUUUAUGUACGCUUGAUCUCCUGACAGAUUUAUAUCUCUGAACAGCUAUAUAGAUAAAAAUGUAUAUUGUUAGAAUUAUGUAUCAGGAGAUAUAUACUUAUUGAUUGUGAUAUAGAGUAGUUAGAGCAUUCACUUAGAGCCAUAUAUGGUGAUGGAGAUAUUUCUAUAUUAUUAUCGCUAUAUAUAGGCAUAUCUAUUUAUAACUACAUAGUUAUAAAAAUAGACAUGUCAUUAUAGUCCUAUAUGUACAUGCUGCAAUCUCUCUCUAGAGUUAUAGACACUUUCAAAUAUAACUCUAUAGUGAGAUUUGUAUGUAUAUAAGGUAUAAUUAUCUUGUGAUGUGUGCACGCUGGGACUUAGGCCACUCUCUCAGAACAAUCAUAUUUAUCUGUAGGGGCUGGGAGAGACUUGUUCACAGAUAUCUGCCGAGGGCCAGCUGGAAACGUUGUAUCUGCCCUCUAGGAAAGAAGCUAGCAGAGUUCUGUAUUUAUGGAGGGAUGGAGUUGCAAAACGGUAAAUAGGCUCAUGGAGCCUCCAGGAAGGGGGGUAAAUGGGGUGUGUGUGGGCUCGGUUGAACAGAUCUCGGGAGGAAAGGGGUAAACACUAGCACCCACCAAAAGGUGAGAACCGGUUUUGUGAGGGGCUGGUGCAGACGGCUGUGGUGGAGGAGCUUGGGAAAGGGGAAGCUGAGAAAACUCCAGCCUCCCCACCCCGAGACGUGGUCCACUGAGGAAGCAUCCUUCAGCUGGGCUUUUAGUGCACUGAAGGAUAGGGAUUGUCGUGCCCCCCCUGUAGUCCUAGCUCGUUUCUCUUAAACCCUGAUUUUUAGGUCUCAAAGAGUGGGCUUCAGAGAUAAACAGGUUUAGGCAGGGACAGGGCGGGGAGCAUGGGGUGCACUUUCGCUUUCUGAUAAGUGAGGUAAUCCAGGAGAGUGAGUUCAUUUGGCCAAAUAAAGCCUGUUUUUA